UAAGUAGGUAGUGAAAUGACGGGGCUCAACCCCGUGUCCAUUAUCUAAAACUGCUCGAGCUAGAGUAUGAGAGAGGUACCUGGAAUUUCUAGUGUAGGAGUGAAAUCCGUAGAUAUUAGAAGGAACACCGAUGGCGUAGGCAGGGUACUGGCUCAUUUACUGACGCUCAGGCACGAAAGCGUGGGGAGCGACCGGGAUUAGAUACCCCGUUAGUCCACGCCGUAAACGAUGGAUGCUA
This 238-nucleotide ribosomal RNA is filed under the name uncultured Candidatus Saccharibacteria bacterium. RNAcentral describes it as "partial 16S ribosomal RNA". It matches the Rfam family "Bacterial small subunit ribosomal RNA", at positions 584 to 818 of the family's 1533-position model. The record is from RNAcentral. Lineage: Bacteria; Candidatus Saccharimonadota.